GGAGCUGUGCCUGAAAAAGGAUCACUUUGAUAGAGUGAGUAAUGAAGGUUAAAGCCCUUCCAUCUCCU
Molecule: transfer RNA, 68 nt
Filed under: Oryzias celebensis (Celebes medaka)
Lineage: Eukaryota; Metazoa; Chordata; Actinopteri; Beloniformes; Adrianichthyidae
Description: tRNA-Ile
Rfam family: tRNA
About the family: Transfer RNA (tRNA) molecules are approximately 80 nucleotides in length. Their secondary structure includes four short double-helical elements and three loops (D, anti-codon, and T loops).
Source: RNAcentral